Nilaparvata lugens (brown planthopper) is the source of this 734-nucleotide long non-coding RNA. RefSeq lists it as uncharacterized. The transcript is spliced from 3 exons. NCBI's taxonomy places the organism in Eukaryota, Metazoa, Arthropoda, Insecta, Hemiptera, Delphacidae. The record is from RefSeq and is a predicted model, not a curated record.
CAGGAGAAACACCUUUCAGCUGCGAAUUUUGUGAUUUCAAAACUGCUCAUUCAAGUUCUUUGAAAGCACAUAUCAGAACACAUACAGGAGAAAAACCUUUCAGCUGCGAAUUUUGUGAUUUCAAAUCUGCUUAUUCAAGUUCUAUGAAAAGACAUAUCAGAACACAUACAGGAGAAAAACCUUUCAGCUGCAAUUUUUGUGAUUUCAAUACUGCUCGUUCAAGUUCUUUGAAGGCACAUAUCAGAACACAUACAGGAGAAACUCCCUUUAGCUGCGAUUUUUGUGAUUUCAAAACUGCUCAUUCAAAUACUUUGAAAGCACAUAUUAGAACACAUACAGGAGAAACUUCUUCUAGCUAAGUAUUCUGUGACCAUACAUGCACUCAUUCAAAUGUUACAUCUAAUUCCAUGCUAAGAAAACACUUGCUGAAAAUGUCUCACAUUAGACUGCUGAGUUAAGAAGUGAGCACCUUAUUAAUGUUGGUUUCUAUCCUUGUCCAUCAUUGGACAAAGCAGAUAGCUCUAUCCUUCUCUAUACUCUUUCUGUUCUCAAUUUUUUGUAUACUAUGAAUAACCAGUUUAUUAUUAACACGAUUCAAUCACCAAUAUUUUGAACGAGGAUGACUCCAAUCAUAGCCAUCUGCUAGGCCUAAAUAGAAGGACUUCUCCCACAUAGGCAAGGGUGAGUUGACCCUUUAGAAUAACUCCACUCUACUGGACACAUACACUUAUACU